GAUGAACGCUGGCGGCGUGCCUAAAACAUGCAAGUCGAGCGAACAGAUAAGGAGCUUGCUCCUCUGACGUUAGCGGCGGACGGGUGAGUAACACGUGGAUAACCUACCUAUAAGACUGGGAUAACUUCGGGAAACCGGAGCUAAUACCGGAUAAUAUAUUGAACCGCAUGGUUCAAUAGAGAAAGACGGUUUUGCUGUCACUUAUAGAUGGAUCCGCGCCGCAUUAGCUAGUUGGUAAGGUAACGGCUUACCAAGGCAACGAUGCGUAGCCGACCUGAGAGGGUGAUCGGCCACACUGGAACUGAGACACGGUCCAGACUCCUACGGGAGGCAGCAGUAGGGAAUCUUCCGCAAUGGGCGAAAGCCUGACGGAGCAACGCCGCGUGAGUGAUGAAGGUCUUCGGAUCGUAAAACUCUGUUAUUAGGGAAGAACAAAUGUGUAAGUAACUAUGCACGUCUUGACGGUACCUAAUCAGAAAGCCACGGCUAACUACGUG
This 497-nucleotide ribosomal RNA is filed under the name uncultured bacterium. RNAcentral's name for it is "partial 16S ribosomal RNA". It matches the Rfam family "Bacterial small subunit ribosomal RNA", at positions 28 to 507 of the family's 1533-position model. The record is from RNAcentral.